Blastomyces silverae is the source of this 97-nucleotide non-coding RNA. The record is from the annotation of a GenBank genome assembly. Lineage: Eukaryota; Fungi; Ascomycota; Eurotiomycetes; Onygenales; Ajellomycetaceae.
GGUCUUGUGGUCUAGUGGUAUGAUUCUCGCUUAGGGUUCACUCUAAGUCAUCUCAUUGAUAUGCGAGAGGCCCCGCGUUCGAGUCGCGGCAAGACCC